RNAcentral lists this ribosomal RNA (275 nucleotides) under Escherichia coli O26:H11 str. CVM10224. Its description in RNAcentral is "partial 16S ribosomal RNA". It matches the Rfam family "Bacterial small subunit ribosomal RNA", at positions 1 to 270 of the family's 1533-position model. Lineage: Bacteria; Pseudomonadati; Pseudomonadota; Gammaproteobacteria; Enterobacterales; Enterobacteriaceae. The record is from RNAcentral.
AAAUUGAAGAGUUUGAUCAUGGCUCAGAUUGAACGCUGGCGGCAGGCCUAACACAUGCAAGUCGAACGGUAACAGGAAAGCAGCUUGCUGCUUUCGCUGACGAGUGGCGGACGGGUGAGUAAUGUCUGGGAAACUGCCUGAUGGAGGGGGAUAACUACUGGAAACGGUAGCUAAUACCGCAUAACGUCGCAAGACCAAAGAGGGGGACCUUCGGGCCUCUUGCCAUCGGAUGUGCCCAGAUGGGAUUAGCUUGUUGGUGGGGUAACGGCUCACCA